Molecule: long non-coding RNA, 847 nt
Organism: Lineus longissimus
Lineage: Eukaryota; Metazoa; Nemertea; Pilidiophora; Heteronemertea; Lineidae
Exons: 3
Source: RefSeq, a predicted model, not a curated record
UUAUGAUUCGUUAGUUUCGCAGUAUCCGAACUGAAACUCUUGCAAGAUGACGAAAUUUUGGUGGUUCGCCUGCCUGCUAUUUGUUGUAUUAGAGUUGUCGAAAGUUUCAAGUCAGCAGCCUGUAGCUAGAGAGUGCUGGGAUGGUAAAUCCUACAAUGGAACAGAGAGCAAGACCAAGAGUGGGAUAGUUUGUCAGCGUUGGGACUCAAACGUGCCACACAAGCCCAAGGCAAAGUACCUACCCUGGGCCCGAAAGAUCGCAGAAGCGUCAAAUUUCUGCCGGACUUCAUGUUCAUCUACUGAUAUCGCCAAACCGUGGUGUUACACACAGAGUAAGGACACCGUGUGGGAAUACUGUGAUGUCCCUCGAUGUCGAUGUGUUCUUGAAGGUGACUGUUGGGAUGGUAAAGUGUACAACGGGAAAAUGAGCAGGACAAGAUCCGGUAAAGCUUGCCAGGACUGGAACGCAAAAACACCACACGUACCACUGCCACAAUACCUUCCCUGGGCUUUGGACGAAGUGGCUGCUGCUAAUUACUGCCGGUUCACCGCCGAUUCCACCAAACCCUGGUGUUACACAACAAGCAAGGCGAAGAGAUGGGAAUACUGUAAUAUUCCCAGCUGCUAAGACCAGUCGCCCUAGACUACUUUCCUCGAUUACAAAAGACGGACACCACUCCUGUCAAACGAAGAAGCCUACUUGCGCUAUACCAACUGUGCGGUGAAAAUAAGACGGACCCACGAGUGCAAAACAUGGCUCAGUUAUACCCGCUGUGCCUUCGACACGGCAAUCAUUUCUCUCCUCAUAAUAAACCUGCUAACGUAAUCGAGUCAAAGAAUAUGAAAU